This 440-nucleotide ribosomal RNA is filed under the name uncultured bacterium. RNAcentral's name for it is "bacterial SSU rRNA". It matches the Rfam family "Bacterial small subunit ribosomal RNA", at positions 958 to 1398 of the family's 1533-position model. The record is from RNAcentral.
AACGCGAAGAACCUUACCUACCCUUGACAUCCUAGGAAGACAGCAGAGAUGUUGUUGUGCCGAAAGGAACCUAGAGACAGGUGCUGCAUGGCUGUCGUCAGCUCGUGUUGUGAGAUGUUGGGUUAAGUCCCGUAACGAGCGCAACCCUUAUCCUUAGUUGCCAGCAUUAAGUUGGGGACUCUAAGGAGACUGCCGGUGAUGAACCGGAGGAAGGCGGGGACGACGUCAAGUCAUCAUGGCCUUUAUGGGUAGGGCUACACACGUGCUACAAUGGGCAGUACAGAGGGCGGCCAACCCGCGAGGGGGAGCUAAUCCCGAAAAGCUGUUCGUAGUCCGGAUCGGAGUCUGCAACUCGACUCCGUGAAGUCGGAAUCGCUAGUAAUCGCGAAUCAGAAUGUCGCGGUGAAUACGUUCCCGGGCCUUGUACACACCGAGACGUA